UCCCUGUCAGUCCAGUGGUUAAGACUCUACGCUUCUAAAGCAGGGGACACAGGUUCGAUCCCUGGUCAGGGAA
RNAcentral lists this transfer RNA (73 nucleotides) under Bos taurus (domestic cattle). It matches the Rfam family "tRNA". From Rfam's summary of the family: Transfer RNA (tRNA) molecules are approximately 80 nucleotides in length. Their secondary structure includes four short double-helical elements and three loops (D, anti-codon, and T loops). RNAcentral also lists the same sequence under 2 other names. The record is from Rfam by way of RNAcentral. Lineage: Eukaryota; Metazoa; Chordata; Mammalia; Artiodactyla; Bovidae.